Molecule: ribosomal RNA, 253 nt
Filed under: uncultured bacterium
Lineage: Bacteria
Description: partial 16S ribosomal RNA
Rfam family: Bacterial small subunit ribosomal RNA
Source: RNAcentral
CGAAGGGGCUAGCGUUGCUCGGAAUUACUGGGCGUAAAGGGAGCGUAGGCGGACAUUUAAGUCAGAGGUGAAAUCCCGGAGCUUAACUUCGGAACUGCCUUUGAUACUGGGUGUCUUGAGUGUGAGAGAGGUAUGUGGAACUCCGAGUGUAGAGGUGAAAUUCGUAGAUAUUCGGAAGAACACCAGUGGCGAAGGCGACAUACUGGCUCAUUACUGACGCUGAGGCUCGAAAGCGUGGGGAGCAAACAGGAUU